AAUCAGGGAAGACUCUGGAUUUAAUGCCAUCACCGCUAGCCCGCUAAUGCGGGUUUUUU
This 59-nucleotide small RNA is filed under the name Brenneria salicis ATCC 15712 = DSM 30166. RNAcentral describes it as "isrK Hfq binding RNA". Lineage: Bacteria; Pseudomonadati; Pseudomonadota; Gammaproteobacteria; Enterobacterales; Pectobacteriaceae. The record is from RNAcentral.